Long non-coding RNA from Hyaena hyaena (striped hyena), 928 nucleotides. RefSeq lists it as uncharacterized. The transcript has 9 exons. The record is from RefSeq and is a predicted model, not a curated record. Lineage: Eukaryota; Metazoa; Chordata; Mammalia; Carnivora; Hyaenidae.
AGGAGGUUGGAAGGAGAGGAGGUGGGUAGGAAUUGGUGGAAUUGGUACCGGUUGCCUCAAUGGCCCGUGAACAGGAUUCUGAAAUCCUGAAAGCUGUAAGCAUUGAUUGAGAACACUUGAGGAAUACCUACUACGUUCUCCUGCCUGACUGUAUUCCAGCAAUGAGAAAGUCUGGGAGCAAGCCAAAGUUAGAACUAUCAGAAUAAAGCAAGAGAUGGAAGAGACCAGCAUGUCAGAUGGACGAGUGGUUUUGCACACCAGUUUGUGAACUGGGGUUCAUCUAUGGUGAAGUUGCUACAGAUUGGCAGAGAAAUAAGAAAAAAAUAUAUAUGAUCCAAACUGCAACAUCUCUGCUGUCAACCUGCGUUCCACGAAGAUUUCUCAAUUGGUCUUCGGACUUAAACUGGAUGAUACCAUUACUGGCAUUCUUGGUUCUCCAGUUUGCAGACAGAAGAUUGUGGAACUUUAUGGCUUCUAUAAUCACAUAAGGUCAUGAGGGUAUAGAAGAUUGCAGUGCACACCAAGGGCAUGCAGAAAUAGAACCCGAAGAGCCACCAGUCUUUCACAUCCUGGUUCACAGACCCUUGAAUUCUAUCCUAAGGAAUAGCUAGAUUGCUUAUUCGCACUGUCCAUGUUCAGACAGCCUCCUGCUGUAUACCUUGCUUUUCACUAUGGACAUUGACUUAAUAAAAAAGACUGGCAGCGUGAUGUCCAGUAAAAGCUAAAAGGAAUGGAGACAGGAUGUCUAUAUCCCGAGGCUGUCAUCGGAAACCUGAGGACUGGAGAAUUACUACAUCCUCUGCCUUGUCGUCUGUGAGUGUGGGGAGCCUGGACCAGGGCUGAUCUGCCAACACCCAGGGGAGUCUUUUCCCAUGACCUCACCUUGUACCCUGUCUUGUGAUAUGCCAAAAUAAAAGUAUAAAUUACA